RNAcentral lists this ribosomal RNA (483 nucleotides) under uncultured bacterium. RNAcentral describes it as "partial 16S ribosomal RNA". It matches the Rfam family "Bacterial small subunit ribosomal RNA", at positions 28 to 507 of the family's 1533-position model. The record is from RNAcentral.
GACGAACGCUGGCGGCGUGCUUAACACAUGCAAGUCGAACGAUGAAGCGGGUGCUUGCACUCGUGGAUUAGUGGCGAACGGGCGAGUAACACGUGAGUAACCUGUCCUUUUCUUUGGGAUAACGGCUGGAAACGGCUGCUAAUACUGGAUAUUCAGGCUGCAUCGCAUGGUGUGGUUUGGAAAGGUUUUUUCUGGGAUUGGGUGGGCUCGCGGCCUAUCAGCUUGUUGGUGGGGUGAUGGCUUACCAAGGCUUUGACGGGUAGCCGGCCUGAGAGGGUGGUCGGUCGCACUGGGACUGAGAUACGGCCCGGACUCCUACGGGAGGCAGCAGUGGGGAAUAUUGCACAAUGGACGAAAGUUUGAUGCAGCGACGCCGCGUGGAGGGUGUAGGCCUUCGGGUUGUGAACUCCUUUUUCUCGCGAAAAAGGCACAGUUUUGGCUGUGUUGAUGGUAGUGGGGGAAGAAGCGCCGGCUAACUACGUG